AGAGAGAGGUUUGUUACCUUAAUAACUGAACUGAAAUAUCAAAUCUUUGAAAAUACUAACCGAAAUUAAAUUGAUUUACCAAAAAACAAACUGAAAAAAUGAAUAAAAUCAAGUGGCGUGGCAACUGAUGUGGCAAAGAGCAAGUAGAGGAUCAGGUGCUAACAGAAGCAAACAAGCAUGAUCUCAAUUGAGUUUAUGGGCCAAUUGAACCUGACUUGCGCAUGUUGGCGUGUGGAUGGUCGGGCACCCAAUCCAUCAACGGCAACACACUAAUUGGUGUGUGGCGAACCACUAGUGAGGUGUAGAAGUUGGUUUGUUGGGCUGAAUGUGAUUCAGGUUGAAACCCGACUUGGACAAAACUGGGUUUUUGGGCAGAUUCUGGCUGUCGAAUUUACGUCAGAACUAGGAAGAGCUGCCUUCUGGUGCUGGGCUAUGGCAUGGUGGUGGCGGCACAGCUGUUCAGUGAAAAUGAAGUGGUGGUUUGUGAGGCAUAGUGGUGAGGGUUAGGGAAAAAGCAAAAGUUUAGGCUUUCUCUGAUUAAUUUCAAGGUAUAGUUGAGGGUCAGAAAAAUGAAGGGCAGGAAAAGACGAGAGGGCACAGUGGUGAAGGAAGAACAAUCCGCAAAGAAGAGAACACAAAAGUUCAGAUUGCUUUCUCUAAUUCACAGGUUGAAUGCUUUAAG
Molecule: unclassified non-coding RNA, 682 nt
Filed under: Hevea brasiliensis (rubber tree)
Lineage: Eukaryota; Viridiplantae; Streptophyta; Magnoliopsida; Malpighiales; Euphorbiaceae
Source: RNAcentral